Molecule: long non-coding RNA, 207 nt
Filed under: Physcomitrium patens
Lineage: Eukaryota; Viridiplantae; Streptophyta; Bryopsida; Funariales; Funariaceae
Description: long non-coding RNA (PPAT_LNC014544)
Source: RNAcentral
GAUUUGAUUUAAGGUUUGUUUAGGAUUUGAUUUAGGAUUUAGGAUUUUAUUAGGAUUUAAAAUUUAAUUAGUUUUGGCCUAAAGUUUGAAUGAAGUUCAAUAGGAUUUUAACUAGAAUUAAAUUAAGAUUGAAUUGAGAUGUAUUUGAGUGAUAUUUGUGAUCCUUCUAAUAUUUUUUUAAGAAUUCUUAUUAUUUGUUUGAAAUUU